CCUAGCCUGGUAGCGGGGGAGUAACUAUUGGAAACGAUAGCUAAUACCGCAUAAUAUUGAAUAUCGCAUGAUAAAUUGAUUAAAAAGAUGCAAUUGCAUCACUACCAGAUGGACCUGCGUUGUAUUAGCUAGUAGGUGAGGUAACGGCUCACCUAGGCGACGAUACAUAGCCGACCUGAGAGGGUGAUCGGCCACACUGGGACUGAGACACGGCCCAG
This 218-nucleotide ribosomal RNA is filed under the name uncultured bacterium. RNAcentral's name for it is "partial 16S ribosomal RNA". It matches the Rfam family "Bacterial small subunit ribosomal RNA", at positions 124 to 334 of the family's 1533-position model. The record is from RNAcentral.